UACGGAGGGUGCAAGCGUUAAUCAGAAUUACUGGGCGUAAAGCGCACGCAGGUGGCUGAGUCAGUCGAUUGUGAAAGCCCUGGGCUUAACCUGGGAAUUGCAGUCGAUACUACUCAGCUAGAGUAUGGGAGAGGGUAGUGGAAUUCCCGGUGUAGCGGUGAAAUGCGUAGAUAUCGGGAGGAACAUCAGUGGCGAAGGCGGCUACCUGGCCCAAUACUGACACUCAGGUGCGACAGCGUGGGGAGCAAACAGG
Molecule: ribosomal RNA, 253 nt
Filed under: uncultured bacterium
Lineage: Bacteria
Description: partial 16S ribosomal RNA
Rfam family: Bacterial small subunit ribosomal RNA
Source: RNAcentral